CCUACGGGUGGCAGCAGUGAGGAAUAUUGGUCAAUGGGCUUACGCCUGAACCAGCCAAGUCGCGUGAGGGAAGACUGCCCUAUGGGUUGUAAACCUCUUUUGUCAGGGAGCAACGCCGUCUAUGUGUAGCCGGACUGAGAGUAGCUGAAGAAAAACCAUCGACUAACUCCGUGCCAGCAGCCGCGGUAAUUCGGAGGAUGCAAGCGUAAUCUGGAUUUAUUGGGUUUAAGGGGAGAGUAGGCGGAAUGUCAAGUCAGCGGUAAAAUCGCGGGGCUAACCCUCGAUACGCAGUUGAGACUGGCGUUCUUGAGUAGGCUAGAAGUAUGCAGAAUGCGUGGUGUAGCGGUGAAAUGCGUAGAUAUCACGAAGAACUCCGAUUGCGAAGGCAGCAUACCGGCGCCGAACUGACGCUGAAGCACGAAAGCGUGGGUAUCGAACAGGAUUAGAUACCCGGGUAGUC
Molecule: ribosomal RNA, 460 nt
Filed under: uncultured bacterium
Lineage: Bacteria
Description: partial 16S ribosomal RNA
Rfam family: Bacterial small subunit ribosomal RNA
Source: RNAcentral